Molecule: ribosomal RNA, 468 nt
Filed under: uncultured bacterium
Lineage: Bacteria
Description: partial 16S ribosomal RNA
Rfam family: Bacterial small subunit ribosomal RNA
Source: RNAcentral
GACGAACGCUGGCGGCGUGCUUAACACAUGCAAGUCGAACGGAAAGGCCCUGCUUUUGUGGGGUGCUCGAGUGGCGAACGGGUGAGUAACACGUGAGUAACCUGCCCUUGACUUUGGGAUAACUUCAGGAAACUGGGGCUAAUACCGGAUAGGAGCUCCUGCUGCAUGGUGGGGGUUGGAAAGUUUCGGCGGUUGGGGAUGGACUCGCGGCUUAUCAGCUUGUUGGUGGGGUAGUGGCUUACCAAGGCUUUGACGGGUAGCCGGCCUGAGAGGGUGACCGGCCACAUUGGGACUGAGAUACGGCCCAGACUCCUACGGGAGGCAGCAGUGGGGAAUACUGCACAAUGGGCGGAAGCCUGAUGUAGCAACGCCGCGUGCGGGAUGACGGCCUUCGGGUUGUAAACCGCUUUCGCCUGUGACGAAGCGUGAGUGACGGUAAUGGGUAAAGAAGCACCGGCUAACUACGUG